Molecule: non-coding RNA, 614 nt
Organism: Peromyscus maniculatus bairdii (prairie deer mouse)
Lineage: Eukaryota; Metazoa; Chordata; Mammalia; Rodentia; Cricetidae
Source: RefSeq, a predicted model, not a curated record
AUGGUGAGUCAGGUGCUCCCCCAGCUUCAGAGCCGCAGAUAAUACCCUACAGGCCUAUCUAUUCCACGGAGGACUCAUUCCUAAAGCCCACUCCUGCUUUCCAGGCCCUGCUGGCAUUGGACUGGCUAACUAAGCCAUCUGGAGACGUUUCUGAGGGAGUGACGAGUGACCACAUUCCUCUUACCCAUAUUUGUCACCCCACAGGACCAGUGUGGGCCACGGCUGACAGUGCAGGCCUUGGGAGAGCCUCAGUGAGAAAGACUGGGCUUUGUGAGGAGAGCUGACCCAAGAAGGCUGCAUCUGGCCCCUGGGACUUAGUCUGUGGAUGGAAAGUGUGGAUGGGCAAGAAGACAAUGGAAUGAUGAAUUGUUGCUGAACUGGGACAGUCUUUGGUAUGCAUGGGAAGAAGUUCCUCAGGCCUCUUGAGAGGGUUCACAGAUGGUGAUACGCUGGGGCAGCCUUUAUAGGGAGUUCAAAGUCAUCGCAUCGAAACUCCAGGACAGGUGGAAACUGAAUGCAGAGAAGGAACUGCAAAGGAAAUAUUACAAAGUUGUUCCCAGGGGAAGAUGAAGAGCACAAAAGCCAAAUUGUAGGCAAGGAGUAUAAUAGACAAG